RNAcentral lists this non-coding RNA (26 nucleotides) under Homo sapiens (human). Lineage: Eukaryota; Metazoa; Chordata; Mammalia; Primates; Hominidae. The record is from RNAcentral.
GGAAUCUCUCUCAAACAUAAGUGUCA